GGAGAGGCAAAUGUAAUCACUAAUAUCAGCCCAACACUUGAAUAUCUAAAACAUGCACGUACAUUAUCAACCGAAUGCAGCCUUUGAUGGUUACCGCACUGACUACUGUUAGCUAAAUGUUUGGAAAUCAAUUAAUUUUAUCAAGAGAUGAUCAACCAUAACUUUUCUGAAGCGUCGGAAGAAAUUUAAGAUGGAUGCCGUACCUGUAUAGUUGCAAACUGAGCAGGAUCAUCAGAGAGAAAGUGAGACAAAUGCAUUAAUAUUGCGGACAGAUUUUACACCAAAAGCUCGAGGGAAGACUAAAUGCGAUUUCUG
Molecule: long non-coding RNA, 315 nt
Filed under: Olea europaea (common olive)
Lineage: Eukaryota; Viridiplantae; Streptophyta; Magnoliopsida; Lamiales; Oleaceae
Description: long non-coding RNA (OEUR_LNC011922)
Source: RNAcentral